AAAUGAACCUGGACACUUAGUGGACUGUAGUCCACCAAAGUGGAAACCAAAUGUUGAACCUUUCUAUUUUUUGCUUCGGCAGCACGUCCCCUUUAGAAGUGGGGGGGCGGUAAGGCUGCCAGAAGCCACAUUAAAAACCAGCCGAUGAAAUGUCAUGCAGUCUGAUACCUUACGGUAUUUUGAGAAAUCAAAUAACUUGUUA
RNAcentral lists this unclassified non-coding RNA (202 nucleotides) under uncultured fungus. Its description in RNAcentral is "sequence contains ITS1". Lineage: Eukaryota; Fungi. The record is from RNAcentral.